This 253-nucleotide ribosomal RNA is filed under the name uncultured bacterium. Its description in RNAcentral is "partial 16S ribosomal RNA". It matches the Rfam family "Bacterial small subunit ribosomal RNA", at positions 524 to 776 of the family's 1533-position model. The record is from RNAcentral.
UACGAAGGGGGCUAGCGUUGCUCGGAAUCACUGGGCGUAAAGCGCACGUAGGCGGCUUUCUAAGUCAGGGGUGAAAUCCUGGAGCUCGACUCCAGAACUGCCUUUGAUACUGGAAAGCUUGAGUUCGGGAGAGGUGAGUGGAACUGCGAGUGUAGAGGUGAAAUUCGUAGAUAUUCGCAAGAACACCAGUGGCGAAGGCGGCUCACUGGCCCGAUACUGACGCUGAGGUGCGAAAGCGUGGGGAGCAAACAGG